This 503-nucleotide ribosomal RNA is filed under the name uncultured bacterium. Its description in RNAcentral is "bacterial SSU rRNA". It matches the Rfam family "Bacterial small subunit ribosomal RNA", at positions 8 to 507 of the family's 1533-position model. The record is from RNAcentral.
AGAGUUUGAUCCUGGCUCAGAUUGAACGCUGGCGGCAGGCCUAACACAUGCAAGUCGAGCGGUAGAGAGAAGCUUGCUUCUCUUGAGAGCGGCGGACGGGUGAGUAAUACCUAGGAAUCUGCCUGAUAGUGGGGAUAACGUUCGGAAACGGACGCUAAUACCGCAUACGUCCUACGGGAGAAAGCAGGGGACCUUCGGGCCUUGCGCUAUCAGAUGAGCCUAGGUCGGAUUAGCUAGUUGGUGAGGUAAUGGCUCACCAAGGCUACGAUCCGUAACUGGUCUGAGAGGAUGAUCAGUCACACUGGAACUGAGACACGGUCCAGACUCCUACGGGAGGCAGCAGUGGGGAAUAUUGGACAAUGGGCGAAAGCCUGAUCCAGCCAUGCCGCGUGUGUGAAGAAGGUCUUCGGAUUGUAAAGCACUUUAAGUUGGGAGGAAGGGCGUUAACCUAAUACGUUGGUGUCUUGACGUUACCGACAGAAUAAGCACCGGCUAACUCUGUG